AGAGCCAGUGAGGUAGGGCAUGUGAGGGUGAGGUAGGGCCUGUGUGGUUAGGCCCAGUGAGGUAGGUACUGUGGGGUUAGGCCCAGUGAGGUAGGGCUUGUGGGGGUGAGAUAGGGCCUGUGGGGUUAGGCCCAGUGAGGUAGGUACUUUAGGGUUAGGCCCAGUAAGGUAUGGCCUGUGGGGGUGAGGUAGGGCCAGUGGGGUUAGGCCCAGUGAGGUAGGUACUUUGGGGUUAGGCCCAGUAAGGUAUGGCCUGUGGGGGUGAGGUAGGGCCAGUGGGGUAAGUGCCAGAUGGGUAAGGGCCAGUAGGGUUAUGGGCCAGUGGAGUUAGGACCAGUGGGAUUAUGGGCCAGUGGGGUUAUGGGCCAGUGGUGUUAUGACAAGUGGGAUUAUGGGCCAGUGGUGUUAUGACAAGUGGGAUUAUGGGCCAGUGGGAUUAUGGGCCAGUGGGGUUAUGGGCCAGUAGGGUUAUGGGCCAGUGGGGUUAUGGGCCAGUGGGGUUAGGACCAGUAGGGUUGUGGAGUACUGCUCCUUGAAGGCUCGGUGACCACGCCCUGGUCUGUGUGAAUGUUUUCUACCUUUUUAAGAGGAUAUUGAUGAGGGCUAUAGGCUACUGUGCUCUCUGUUAAAUCAUUCUGACCCUAGCUUUGUAUCUCAGGGGUAGGAUCAUGUUACAGGGAUAGUUAUCUAAUAGUUGGUUGCACCAGAUGUUUUAUGUAAUACCCUCUCUACCCAUGAGAGAGAAAUGAACAUCCCUCCCCAAAAAAGAAAGUACAAAACAGGCUGUGUUUUUAGUUAGUUGGUUUGUUGUGAUUGGCUGUGGCGGG
Molecule: long non-coding RNA, 827 nt
Filed under: Salmo salar (Atlantic salmon)
Lineage: Eukaryota; Metazoa; Chordata; Actinopteri; Salmoniformes; Salmonidae
Description: lncRNA (ENSSSAG00000117506.1)
Source: RNAcentral